CUCUAUGAAUGCUCUAUCUGUGCACCAAACAGUAUCUUUGCUGUGUGGUGAGGACAGUUUUGUAUAUAUUUACUAGUUCAAGAUUACUAAUUAUAUUGAUCAAGGGUUGAGGAUCUUUGCUAAGUUUUGUCAGCUUGAGCUGUUAAUUUUAUUUUAAUGAAAACCUGGGGGCAGGGCAUUUAGCUCAGUGGUUCCAGCGCCUGCCUCAAAAGCGCAAGGUCCCAAGUUCAAUCCCCGAUACCAAAAAAAAACCCCUGAAUUAUAAGCUAAAGAUGUAGCUCAGAUUUAGAGCUUUUCUAGCAUGCACAAACCCUGAUGUGAUCCCCAGCACCACACACACACUCACACGCACACUCACACGAUCUCCAGUUACAAUUGGAGGAUUGUACUUCUCCCCUCGGCCCUGCAGAUGUUGCUGGGGCUCACUUUGCACGAAGCCUGCCACAGCAGCUGUAGGGCUGUGGCUCCAAACGCAAGCCCCACUGACCACCAGCCCCAGCUGCUGCCCUUGGGAUCCCCCUUGGUAUUAAAGCAUGGCCACCUCCUCCUGGCCACUCCCAGUCAAAGGUGGGGUGCAGCAGGGUCCUCGUGCUGACCUUUCCCGCCCACUGCCAACUCCUCUGCUGGACAGUGCCAUCAGGACCUGAAACAGCCUGGCCAGGACCUCUGGGAAAGGGACCCUGGCCUGGGACCAUCCACCCCGGCCUCCUCCAGCAUCUGUCUCCAUGCGCUGCCUCCUGUCAAUCAUAGGCACAACCCCCACCUCAGCCCAUCUCAGCCUCCGCUUCUCAGAGGGCUGCUCACGCUCACCCUGGGAACGUGUCUCUCUCCAUGUCCUCAGGGGCCCAAGGCAGGACAAAGGCACAGGUCCAGGACACAGAGCGGCCUCCAGGGCUCGAGGACCCUGCUCCCCUCUGUCCCAAGGCCUCUCUUGCUCUGCACUUGCUGUGUGGGGUGUUUCUGAUUUGCUAUUUGAUGUCAUUCUUAGUAAAGAAAAAUUAAAAUUUUGACAUUGCUAGCAUGAGUUUUACCCUUCAUUUUUAAAGUGUAGAGUGCCAUUGUAGAUGCACAGAUAAGAGCAGAAACAUGGAGAUUCCAC
Molecule: long non-coding RNA, 1099 nt
Filed under: Heterocephalus glaber (naked mole-rat)
Lineage: Eukaryota; Metazoa; Chordata; Mammalia; Rodentia; Bathyergidae
Description: lncRNA (ENSHGLG00100033073.1)
Source: RNAcentral